UACGUAGGGUGCAAGCGUUAAUCGGAAUUACUGGGCGUAAAGCGUGCGCAGGCGGUCUUGCAAGACAGAUGUGAAAUCCCCGGGCUCAACCUGGGAACUGCAUUUGAGACUGCAAGGCUGGAGUGCGGGAGAGGGGGAUGGAAUUCCGCGUGUAGCAGUGAAAUGCGUAGAUAUGCGGAGGAACACCGAUGGCGAAGGCAAUCCCCUGGGCCUGCACUGACGCUCAUGCACGAAAGCGUGGGGAGCAAACAGG
RNAcentral lists this ribosomal RNA (253 nucleotides) under uncultured bacterium. RNAcentral's name for it is "partial 16S ribosomal RNA". It matches the Rfam family "Bacterial small subunit ribosomal RNA", at positions 524 to 776 of the family's 1533-position model. The record is from RNAcentral.